This 78-nucleotide transfer RNA is filed under the name Nostoc sp. FACHB-152. Its description in RNAcentral is "tRNA-Phe". RNAcentral also lists the same sequence under 1 other name. The record is from RNAcentral. Lineage: Bacteria; Bacillati; Cyanobacteriota; Cyanophyceae; Nostocales; Nostocaceae.
ACUCCUGUAGUGAAAUUGGUAAACGCUUCCGUUUGAAAUACGGAAUUCUUACUCUUUCAACUCUUGUCGGGAGUACCA